This 832-nucleotide unclassified non-coding RNA is filed under the name Hevea brasiliensis (rubber tree). Lineage: Eukaryota; Viridiplantae; Streptophyta; Magnoliopsida; Malpighiales; Euphorbiaceae. The record is from RNAcentral.
GCAAAUGAUUGCCAUUACUUAAAGCAGUUUCUAGCAAAUUGGUCCUUGUUUUUAGCAUAGCAUAUGGUGAUAGCUUGAUUGAAAAUUUGAAAGGUCGGUUGAAGUUCUUAUUUCGAAAUUUCAUUUUUGAGUUAUUGUAUAUGGUAUUGGUUGGCAAAAUAGUGGAUUCUAUCCCCAUCCCCAUUGGCAUUUGGAAUUGUUGAAUCCUUGUAGUUCAUGUGUUUCCUACUUAUAUUACACAUUAUCAAUUACUUAUGCUACAAUAGAGUGACAGACAAAAAAAAUAGUUAGCUUUGCCUUUUCAUGUCUUUUAGCACCAUUUGCCUAUAUCUGCAACUGAGAAUAUGGCAUAAAAUGUGUUGCUUAGAGCUAUAUAUCAUGUGUAAUAUGUGUUGGCAACAAGAAGUAAAGAACAAAAAUAUAAACAGAAAAUAAUGGAUUGAGAUUCUGAAGAACAAUUUGAUGUUGACACCUGACAGUGGCUUGCAGAAAUCUCAUUGUGCCAUCAAUCAUAGCCCAUAAAGACUUUCCUUGCCUCCCCAUCAAACCAUAGGUCUCCUUAAGCCACCAUAUCCACUGCAAGAAAGAAAAUCAUAUAGAUAAAUAUAAAAAGAAAUACAAAUAAUUAAUUAUGUGUUCAUGCAAAAAAACACUUGAUGAUAAUUGAAACCAGCAUCCUGACAUGAGUAAGUUGUGUUAGGUCUUUCACUUCUAUUUUUUCUCACCUUCCAUAUCUCAUGAAUGAUGGUACUUAUCAGGCUUUAAAUUGAAUAUUAAAUGUCUAUAUUACUUUUGAGAGGUGGAUGAGGCUGACUUGUGAUUUUGCUGUUAU